Trichosurus vulpecula (common brushtail) is the source of this 7009-nucleotide long non-coding RNA. RefSeq lists it as uncharacterized. Lineage: Eukaryota; Metazoa; Chordata; Mammalia; Diprotodontia; Phalangeridae. The transcript has 4 exons. The record is from RefSeq and is a predicted model, not a curated record.
GGGGAGCUAGGCUUCAGUGACUGAAAGAACCUGCAGGAGCCAAGGGCUGUGAGUCCACGCUGCUGGUACUGCCGCUGCUGCCGCCGCCGCCGCGCUGCCCCCUCCACUGGCGUUGCUGCGACUGGACUGCUGCCUAUGUCCAAGUCAGCCGGAAGAGCAAGAGCCCCAGUCGAAGCAAGACAGUAGAGUGCAAACGCAAAAUACAAGGAGAGCACCUAUAUCUUUGCAAAACAGGUGGACGUAUCUGACUCCUGGUUGGUGGCCCCUGCUUGCAAGGCUCAUCUCUUAUAAUAAUACCGUGAACUAUUUCAUCUUUGAACACAAAGGGAAACCUAUAGAACCCGAGAAGCUGAGGCCCAGGGAUGUCAACUGAUUUGUUCAAGCUCAUCCAGUAAACGUAUUACCAUCUACAUUAACGACGUCGAAAGUAGCCUACUUUAAGAGAAAAUAUGCAGAAGAAGAAGAUUUACAUCAAGAUUACAAUGGGUAUUUUCCAAAACACCUGAUAUUACCAGAAGACCGGACCUGCAUUCUAAAACUUUCACUAGAGAAGCUCAGGUUUCUUGAAGACCCUGAAACCUAUCUUCGAAGGUCUGUGCUGAUCAACAAUUUGUUGAGGAAGAUCCACCUGGAGGCGGAGAAAGAGAGUUAUGAAUACUUUAAGGAAGCUCCAUGUUAUAGGACUGCUUAUUCUGAUACAAGAAAACGGCUGAAGUUUAUGGUACAAGAAUGCUGCUCUCAGUCACUCUAUUAUGAAGAGCUGCAUUCGUACCAUAUUGUGCCUUAUUCUGCGGAGAAUGCCAUUUAUGGAAUGGGCUACACUAGCAGCCACUUGGAGCAAAAUUCUCAGUUGCUUAUUUAUAAAAUGAAUUAAAGCAACUGUUAGGUUGAUUUCCUAUUUUUGUUUCUAAAUGCCUGAACUGUUUCUAAAUGAACAGGAUGCACUGACUGCUCAGUGCAUUUGGGAUCAAAGCUGAGAUGCACUUUGAACUGAAUGGAAGAGUACUUUGAUUAAUAUUUAGCAGUCUUUAAUAUUAUCAUAUUGAAUCAAAAUUAUGUCCAUACAUUCUAAAGUUUGUAGAUCGAGUGCUUUUGGAAGCUGAGAUCUAUUUUAAGAUAUGGUUUCUACUUGUAAAGUUGUUCAUGCAGAUUUUUAGACAUUUUCAUCUAUGUUUGUUAUACCACCAUGGGUGGAGAAUAAAAAAAUGAAAAAAGGAACAUAUUCACCUGACAGUGUAGUUUCAAUGAGGAUAAUGGGUGGUUUGAAUUUAGCAUCCUCUGAAAGAUGAGAAAGUGGGCAGGUACUUUCAGAAAUGCUUUGUGUGUUUCUAAGCAUUUGUGCCAAAGCAUUUGCUUGGCACAAUUCUCAGCCCCAAGAGCUAGAAUUCAAAAUGGGGCAGCAGAUCCUGUAAAUUCAAAAUAAAACAGUUUUUUAGGGGGGAAAGAGACUUUAAAUGGCUCCACUAAAUUAUGCUCAGUUUUACUCAUCUCAUGGCUUAGUAGCCUUUGUUGUCGAGCAGUAAAAUUUAGUGAACCCUAUGUCUGGGUCUUGUCACCAGUCACAGUUUGUGGUGGGUCACUAUUGAAUAGUGAUAAUUUUAAUCUAUUUAGUCAUCUGUGUUGCAGGCUGUGGAGCUUGGGGAAGGGGUGGGUGGGCAAACUUUUUCACAAACUGGAAAUUCGUUGUUUUUUUUUUCCUGUAGUUAUCAAGGCUGGAAUAAAUCAACAGAUACACUAAGGUAUUCUUGCUUUACCCACUUCUAAGUGUGUUUUAGAGCACACAGUUUCAACUUUGCACUGGUCUUAGCAUUACUCUCAAGCACUAAUUGACACAGAAUUUCAGAGUGCUAUUGGCAUAACAGUUUAGGUAAUCAUGUUUUGAAAUGUGAAAGAUGUUUAUUUAAUAUAUUAGAUAGAGUUAUUAAAUUGCUUGAAGUAUUUUAUAUCAUUUGGGAUUUGAGUGUGAUGUCCAUCUUCAGGAUUUGGAGUUUUGUCUUACCAAGCAUGUCAUGUAAAAAGGUAAUAAAGUAAUCAAGCAGAUUGGGAAAACUAGUUGCCAAAGGUAUAACCAGAACAAACCAAAGACUAGUGUCAAUUAGGCUGUGGCAUUGGAAAGAAGAGUUGGAGAUGAGGAUUGCUUAGUAACGAAGAGCAACACUCCCGAUGCUUCUGCAAACUUCAUGUUUACUAAUGUGUUUUUGGAUCAUUUUGGGACUCUACACAGAACAACAGAAUGGUCAGAUGGGUGACAGAUUACAACCUUCAAUGAUCAUACUCCAUCACUGGUGAAAAGCUGAUGGUUUGCUAUUAUAUGAUCCUGAUGCUGAAAGCAAAGACUCUUCACUCAGAAAAUGAUUUUCUGUUUGAGAGAUUUGUAGCUUCUGACUUGAUUCAUGUUGUUUGUAGCCUAUUUUGAAGUAUCACCAUGUUGAUCAUGGGUGCAUUUGGUAUCAAGGAUUUUAAAAUCUUAAUUAGAAUGCACUGCAGCAGAUUGCAGAAACAUAAUAGCGGACUUUGCCAGGUGUGUAUUUAAUGAUCCUAUCAAGCCCAGGAUAAAAAGCAUUACAGCAAAAUGAAAAAUCAGAAUUGAGGUUAAUGCCCAUGCAAUGUAAGUUGAAUGGAAAUUCCUAAUAGAAAAACAAACCCUAAACAUCUGAGAGCCAAAUUUGUCUAGAAGUUCAAAAAACCUUAAAACCUGCCUUUUGCCUCCAUGCCAAGAAGGUAACUCUCAUUUCCCAUAAUAGCUCUUUUACCACUUAGAGUUCAUAAAGCAUAAUAAUAUUAGUUACAAAAGGCUAUGAAUGUAAGAGCAGAAACAGAAAAAGGAAUUUUCCCAGCUAGAAUUAGUAGCGGGAAAUUUUCAGAUUUGCAUUGGAAAAGGUAAUACAUUUGGCUUGUGGACAAAGCUACAGUAAUUUGCCUUUGAGAGGAAACCUAAUGAUAUUAGAUAAUGCAUGCAUCAAAGUAUUUUUUAAAAUCAGAAUAAAUGUGAAUAAUAUACUUAUCUUGAGAAAAAUUAGCACGGAAAAGGUGAGGGGAUUAGAGGAACUUUUUGUAUCAAGUGUACAUGAAUGAAUUGCUGGUGAAAUCAGCUACUCUAUGUGGCAGAGAAAUAGGAAAAUUUGUCUCAGUUGAUCGCACAUCAUUUAAAGAGCUUGCUAAUCUAUAAGUGCAUAUGAAGAGGUGGUUGUUGUUCAGUUGUGUCCAACUCUUCAUGACUUUCAUGUGGGGUUUUCUUGGCAAAGAUACUGGAAUGGUUUACCAUUUCCUUCUCCAGCUCAUUUUACAGGUGAGGAAACUGAGGCAAACAAGGUUAAGUGACUUGCCCAGAGUCACACACCUAGUGUCUGGGGCUACAUUGGAACUCAGAUCUUUCUGACUCCAGGCAGGUGCUCUAUUUACUGUGCCACUUGGCUGCCCCUAUGAAGAGAAGUACCAAUGCCUAAAAAUGAACAAUUCUUUGAAAAUGUUAAAGUAUUUUCUUAAAACUAUAACAAAUAAAAAUUUAAAGGUUAUUUAAGGUAGUAAUCUAUUUAGGGCAUUUAUACCUUUUCAUAAAAAUCAUAAUAAUAGUUCAUUAAUAAGGAGCUUCCCAUUAACUUGAACACCUGUUGAAAUAUAUUAAAACUAUGAAACCUCUAUUCUUCUAAGAAAGAAAAUUAAGAAAAAUUAACCAGGGUAGCAUUAACUACACUUCCUGUUCUCCCCUUUAACUGUCCCAUUGUCUGAUAGGAUUGAGUAAUACCUGUGGGUGUCGCUAGCAGACUAGAGACAUGGUAAGAAAGUAGGUUAAAAAAAGGGAAGCAAGGAAAGACAAAAAGAGAAAAGUAAGGAAAAGUGAAAUCAGGAGGGGGAGAAAGCUUAGAGAAAGAAAAGAAAGAGCGAUUCCAGUGAUUCUUUGACUGCCACCAACAGCUGGCAUCUGAGCCUUUGGCUGUCCAUUCCAUCCGGACAAAGAACUCAUUCAUCUCCUUAGUUCGUUGCUUUGCAUUCAACAAGCAUGCUGGAUUGUAGUUAGUCCAUAUUCAAUUGAACAAUUUAUGUGCUAAAUUUUAAAAUCUUCCUCUGUCUAAAUAGUAUGUCAAGGGCAUGGCUGAAGAUGAAAAGAUGUGAUGAAUAGGUGAUUGAUAGGCUGAGCAAAAGGCAUCUGCAUGGAUGGGUCAGCCAAAUACCUACACAGGGCCUCAAAUCUCAUCCUAGAGUUUUACAAAAUGAGCCCCACUGCAUGCAGACGUGAAGGAUAUUUUAAAGUUAAGUGGCUGUUAACUGGUAGCCUAGGCUUUUCCCACUGUUCAAAUAUGAGAAUGCUUAAUAGGUUUAUGCCUCUGUGCCUCUGUAGGCUGUUCUGAAGGGAGAACCCCAGAUGUUAAUGAAUCAAAAGCCAAGUACUGAUGCUUUUCGAGAUGGAGUUCAUAUUUUGCUAUUAGGAACUAAUCAGUAUAGAAACCAGGAUGUAGAAACCCUGGGGGCAAAUCACGUUGUGUCCUUCUCCCCUCAACCUCCUUCACUGUUUUCCUCCUCAUACAGGCAAAACCGGCAUGAACAAAUAUAGCUGUAAAAGGGGCAAAAGUCACAAAAGAGUAACAGACUGAGAAUUGUGUCAAAAAAGCAGUCAGGGUGAGUCUUACCCUAUUUGUCUUGUUGAGGCAUCAGGGCCAUUGAUGGCCAGAAUAUGAGUGUAUUUAUCACUUGCUGACAGUAUGUUAUACGAGCCUCAGGUAUUUUUUCUUCAUUUUUUAAAAUACCAGCUCAAGGAGUCACUUUUUCCCCCUCCCCCAUCUGCUCCCUGAAUCACUGAAUGCUCUCCAUCACUGCAGCAGCGUGCAUUUGGGAGAGUCCUCAAUGCCUGGGGCCAGGAUGGUCACUCUGAUUUGGUGCACCUUAGGACAGAACAAGUAAUUGUGAGAGGACAAAGGGGAAGCAUUAGCCUUCUGCACCAGCUGAACUUUCUCUGGGAGGAGGGUUUUUAAGAGUAGGGCCAAUUAGUAUUCAUUGCUGUAAUCUGGUCAUUCCUGGACUGAUGUAGUGCUUAUUGAAACAAUAGUUCUCAGUCUUCUUUACAGAACCUUAUAAAAAUGUUAAUUUCAUUUUGGGACUUAUAAGCUUACUUUCAAUGCCAUAUGAUGCUUUGCAGUUAUAUUCAUUUUAUUAAAUAUUUAAGAGAAAGUACUUUCAUUUGAAAAAAUAGAAACUUUUGAUGAGCUUUCAGAAACUAGGAUCCAAUGCAAACAAGUGUUCUUAAUUAACUGAACAUUUAUGGUGUACAUAGUUAUAUAUGUGUCAAUUUAAUAAAUUCCCUUUUCAAACUUCAUUGAUAGAUGUCAGGUAUAGGAUGAGUUUUGGUUGCUUGUUUCUUUUCCUUGAGGGCCCUUUCCCAACUGCAGCAGUCCAUCUGGGGCUGAAAACUUUGGUCUGAGCUCUCAUGUUAAUAUAAUUCUCUUUCUGUGAGGAUUGUCAAUAGGUUGUACCUCUUAACCUAAAGAACUUUCCAACCAGAAAUAUACACAGCAGGACAUCGUUUUCUUUUUAGACUUGAAAAAAACCUUUUUCUUUUCAACAUGACUUUUUCUAUUCCUUAAAAGAAGAUAGUCAAUUUAAACAGACAAGAAAUUAGGGUAAAACAUCAAAUUAGGGUUACAUAAAAUGACAUAAUACUAAUUUUCCAAAUUAGCUGAAAAUCCUCUCCUCUUUAAAGGAUGAUGUAAAGUUUUAUGUGUUAGAUGGGAAAUGAUGAAAUUACAUAAAUAAAUUACAUGAAAUUACCUAAAAUUACAUGUAAUUUUAAGUUUAUUUUUAUCAAAUAUAAGAAAAGCGUAUCUAUAUAUAUGUCAUAUAUAUGGAGUUCCCAUUCUUAAAAGUUUAGGAAAUGGUCAUGUGGCCAUUUAUUUUCUUGUUUUCUUCCCCUGCCCCAAGGAACAGUCUCAGAACUAGGCGGUCCAUCAGGUAAACAUAGAGCCAGGUCCACAGUUAGCAAGAAUUGGAUACUUUCAGGCUUUGCUAGAUCUGGGAAAGACAUUAGACAUUAAACUUAAAUCUCUGACUUACUGUGAUGGUUGCACACUGCAGUAAACCCAUACGUGAAAUGAUGAGGAAAGAAACUUACUUGCCCCUUUUUGCAGUGAACUCUCUACAGUUUGUGGUCUUGUUAUACAUCUCUUGGGUCUACUCAGUUGUAAAGGCUUGCUCAAGCAGUGGGAUGACGCAUGUAAAUGAGAAAGAGUCACAUGCAUUUUAAAAUUUCUGCAUGCCAAGUGAUUUCUUGUCAGGGUAUCUCUAGGUCAUACAUAGUUGGUAUAGCUAUUAUGAAAUAUAUCGUCAUAAAUUUGUCAUAAACCACUAAUGAAAGAACAAAAGCAGAACAUUUACAUCUAUGGAAAUGCACUCAAAUGUCAAACAGAUGGUGUUCUACAACAUUUAUUUGGAGAAUAUAUACAUCUGCUAUAUAAUCAGAAAUAUGCUUUUUCACAUUUUAAAAUAUCUUGGUUAUGGUUAAAAUUUUUAUUGGAUUGUUUUCUAAAUGAAGAGAUAGAAAAAGGUAAAUGUAUUUUAAAACAUUUGACAUGAUAUUAAUAAAAUUUUAUUUCUGGUGAAAUACAGGUGCCUUUAUUAAAUUCUAAACAAAGCCAUGAAGCAAGGGAAGUAGGAUUGUGAACAUUUACUAUUUCUCUUAUGUCUCCUCGAUUUCAUUUUUCUUGCUUUAAGGGCACCUAGAUGCAAUGAUUUGACAUUUUAUUUUCAACAAAGGAAAAUUUGCUUAAGGCCUUGGAUGGUCCUCUCAGGACUUUUGGAGGAUUAUCUUUUCCCAAUGACCCUUGCAAUGGUUUUCAGGUUGUAUCUAUCAUCACCACAUAUGUCAAGACAUGAUGCCAUAAUAAGCUUCAGAAUCAGAAACGGUUUUUUUUUUCCUGCCAGAAGAGCAGCAUGAAGACAGUGUAUCAAAACUGAACACAGGUUUUGAAUGGGGUACAGUGGAAAGAAUAUAGAAUUUAGAGUUAGAGGACCAAGUAAA